UCGGGCCACCUUCUCCCCGAGGGGAGAAGGGAUAUGCCGCAACGUUUCGACUCCCUCUUCUCCCCUCGGGGAGAAGGUGCCCGUA
Molecule: microRNA precursor, 85 nt
Filed under: Rhizobium esperanzae
Lineage: Bacteria; Pseudomonadati; Pseudomonadota; Alphaproteobacteria; Hyphomicrobiales; Rhizobiaceae
Description: microRNA MIR1846
Source: RNAcentral